This 119-nucleotide ribosomal RNA is filed under the name Labrus bergylta (ballan wrasse). The record is from RNAcentral. Lineage: Eukaryota; Metazoa; Chordata; Actinopteri; Labriformes; Labridae.
UCUUACGGCCAUACCACCCUGAACACGCCCGAUCUCGUCCGAUCUCGGAAGCUAAGCAGGGUCGGGCCUGGUUAGUACUUGGAUGGGAGACCGCCUGGGAAUACCAGGUGCUGUAAGCU